GGUAACAGGAAACAGCUUGCUGUUUCGCUGACGAGUGGCGGACGGGUGAGUAAUGUCUGGGAAACUGCCUGAUGGAGGGGGAUAACUACUGGAAACGGUAGCUAAUACCGCAUAACGUCGCAAGACCAAAGAGGGGGACCUUCGGGCCUCUUGCCAUCGGAUGUGCCCAGAUGGGAUUAGCUAGUAGGUGGGGUAACGGCUCACCUAGGCGACGAUCCCUAGCUGGUCUGAGAGGAUGACCAGCCACACUGGAACUGAGACACGGUCCAGACUCCUACGGGAGGCAGCAGUGGGGAAUAUUGCACAAUGGGCGCAAGCCUGAUGCAGCCAUGCCGCGUGUAUGAAGAAGGCCUUCGGGUUGUAAAGUACUUUCAGCGGGGAGGAAGGGAGUAAAGUUAAUACCUUUGCUCAUUGACGUUACCCGCAGAAGAAGCACCGGCUAACUCCGUGCCAGCAGCCGCGGUAAUACGGAGGGUGCAAGCGUUAAUCGGAAUUACUGGGCGUAAAGCGCACGCAGGCGGUUUGUUAAGUCAGAUGUGAAAUCCCCGGGCUCAACCUGGGAACUGCAUCUGAUACUGGCAAGCUUGAGUCUCGUAGAGGGGGGUAGAAUUCCAGGUGUAGCGGUGAAAU
RNAcentral lists this ribosomal RNA (630 nucleotides) under Shigella sonnei. RNAcentral's name for it is "bacterial SSU rRNA". It matches the Rfam family "Bacterial small subunit ribosomal RNA", at positions 68 to 687 of the family's 1533-position model. The record is from RNAcentral. Lineage: Bacteria; Pseudomonadati; Pseudomonadota; Gammaproteobacteria; Enterobacterales; Enterobacteriaceae.